ACCGUCCUUUUCUUGGGGUUGCACUACUGUCCAAAGAGCAUGUGGUGAGGGCAGUACUGCUAACGUCCACACGACACAGCCACAUCAUGCUUUAGCUUGGUGUAACUUUUGGAAAA
RNAcentral lists this non-coding RNA (116 nucleotides) under Aotus nancymaae (Ma's night monkey). RNAcentral describes it as "U4atac minor spliceosomal RNA (ENSANAG00000011982.1)". It matches the Rfam family "U4atac minor spliceosomal RNA". From Rfam's summary of the family: U4atac is an essential component of the minor U12-type spliceosome complex which is required for removal of the rarer class of eukaryotic introns (AT-AC, U12-type). These interacting stem loops have been shown to be required for in vivo splicing. U4atac also contains an 3' Sm protein binding site which has been shown to be essential for splicing activity. The record is from Rfam by way of RNAcentral. Lineage: Eukaryota; Metazoa; Chordata; Mammalia; Primates; Aotidae.